CCCUAUGGGGCGCACCACAUUCCAGUCAAUGCGGACAUCCAUUGGAUCGCUCUUGUCCUUGAGUAGCUGCAGAUAGCGCCGAAGGUCGUCGUAGGACAUGAUGCUGCGGUUGGAGAAGAUGAUCCUGGCCCGGCCGUCGCCGUCCUCGGGGUUGCGUUUGUCACGACAGAGCCAGGACACGCGCUCCAGGAGGUAGCGCGUGGCAUACCGAUACAGCAGAAAUUUUUCCGACUGGAAUUUUUCUGGUUCCCGUAUUUCCGGCUUGUAAAUCAACACGGAAACAGUCCGGAUUUUUUCUUCUGCGAUCCGGCGCACCAAGGGCACUCUUUGUUCGUGCUUAAGGGUUCUGAAAUGCAAUUCCUGUCUUGGAGUUUUACCAAGGAAUUGGCGGGAGAGC
RNAcentral lists this ribosomal RNA (397 nucleotides) under uncultured prokaryote. RNAcentral describes it as "partial 16S ribosomal RNA". The record is from RNAcentral.